CAACCGUAAAACAGAAGUAACGAAUAAGUUAUCUGUAACAAGGAUUUGAAUUAUGAACCUAUAACUUGCGAGACUUAAUUAGAAACAUACUAUAUUGCAAAUUCCGGAGGUGUAAUAAUGUUAACACAGAACCUCCCUGGCGCCCUGUUACCGGUUAAUCGGAAAAAAAAUCCCGGAGGUACUGUCGAAUAAUCUAUCCAGGAUCCAGAUAAAACCAGUUGAAGAGUUUUCUGUAGAACAUAAUCGAACAAAAUGCCGAAAAGUUAAAUGUAUGUAUUACGCACAUUGAUGAAAUAAAAUUAUUUCACGGAAUUGGCCAUUUUUUCAUGCAGCGCAAUAAGACCAGUAAAGAAACAAAUUGCGUGCUGGAAAUAAAUGAUCGUUUU
Molecule: non-coding RNA, 386 nt
Organism: Cinara cedri
Lineage: Eukaryota; Metazoa; Arthropoda; Insecta; Hemiptera; Aphididae
Source: the annotation of a GenBank genome assembly